Molecule: long non-coding RNA, 528 nt
Filed under: Bos taurus (domestic cattle)
Lineage: Eukaryota; Metazoa; Chordata; Mammalia; Artiodactyla; Bovidae
Description: long non-coding RNA NONBTAT023845
Source: RNAcentral
UUAAAAAGCUUUCUUCAUGAACUAUGAUCAGUGUUUAUAUACUCAGUAGCUCAACUUUUCUCGUUUGAAAAACAGAUCACCUAGUACAUUACUUAGCACAUAAGCAGUGCUUUGCUUAUAGUAGGCAUGUAUUAUUGUUUGGUUAAAACAUUAAACUGUACUUUUAACUAAUCUGUGUAUUUAAAGAUUAAGUAUUUCACAUAUAUAGCAUUAUAAUUCCAUUUUUUCAGCUCAGACUUCAGCCAACUUUGUGUACUCAGAAUUGUGGAGGAAAUACAUCAGUAAACAUCAAUAGAAAUAACUUCUACCUGGUCAAGAACUUUACUGAUUAAGAAAAUUAUUGAAGUUCAUACCCAUUUGAAAUUUCAUAAAAUAAGGUUACUGGUUUGAUAAGACUCAUUAUCAGCUUUUUCCUAGGUUAGCUGUUUACAAUCAGUGUUUUAUUGAGUAACAAAAUGGGUAAAGGCCUGAUAGGAGACCAGGAUCAGAAGCACUAGUAAUUCACAGAAUUUUGAAGAGUUAUAUUUU